Tachysurus fulvidraco (yellow catfish) is the source of this 891-nucleotide long non-coding RNA. RefSeq lists it as uncharacterized. The record is from RefSeq and is a predicted model, not a curated record. The transcript is spliced from 2 exons. NCBI's taxonomy places the organism in Eukaryota, Metazoa, Chordata, Actinopteri, Siluriformes, Bagridae.
GAGAGUGAGACAGGUUCAGGAAUAGAAAGACAGAUUAAUUUCAGCCUUUAGGAAUGAGAGUGAGACAGGUUUUACAUGGAGUUACGGAAUGAGAGUGAGACAGGUUUUACAUGGAGUUACGGAAUGAGAGUGAGACAGGUUUUACAUGGAGUUACGGAAUGAGAGUGAGACAGGUUUUACAUGGAGUUAUGGAAUGAGAGUGAGACAGGUUUUACAUGGAGUUACGGAAUGAGAGUGAGACAGGUUUUACAUGGAGUUAUGGAAUGAGAGUGAGACAGGUUUUACAUGGAGUUAUGGAAUGAGAGAGAGACAAAUAUUUAAUUACACACAGGAAUGAAGAGAGAGACAGGUUUAACUGGAGUUAUGGAAUGAGAGUGAGACACCUUUAUGUAAAAUUGUGAAACAUCACUAAGACAGAGAUUAAGACGCAGAGAGAGUGAGACAGGUUUAACUGGAGUUAUGACUGGAGAAUAUGAAAGGAGAGUGAGACGGGUUUGUAUUAGUCAGUGCGACACGUUUCCUUCCUCUGACCCUUUUCAGUAGCUUGUGCAGGAUAAACAUCUUAUUUCUCUAAUAAACUUGUACACUUUUAUAAAUAAAUAAAAUACAUUCUAAAAACACACCUAGAGUGAGACAGGUCUAGCUGCAGGCAUGAGGCGAGAGUGAGACAGGUCUAGCUGCAGGCAUGAGGCGAGAGUGAGACAGCUGUGUGAUUUACAGUAAGAAUAAAUAAAGUGUGGGCUUCACAGACAGGGGAUUACUGAAGCACAGUGCUGGAGUUAAAGAGGCUCAGUCCGCUCAGCUGUGGACAUGAUAAUGACUACACACACACACACACACACACACACACACACACACACACACACACACACACACACACACACACACACA